GUUAAGAUGGCAGACUCUGGCAAUGCAAAAGAUCUAAGUUCUUUCAAAAGAGGUUCAAAUCCUCUUCUUAACU
Molecule: transfer RNA, 73 nt
Filed under: Cynoglossus trigrammus
Lineage: Eukaryota; Metazoa; Chordata; Actinopteri; Pleuronectiformes; Cynoglossidae
Description: tRNA-Leu
Rfam family: tRNA
About the family: Transfer RNA (tRNA) molecules are approximately 80 nucleotides in length. Their secondary structure includes four short double-helical elements and three loops (D, anti-codon, and T loops).
Source: RNAcentral